Molecule: non-coding RNA, 95 nt
Organism: Mycena polygramma
Lineage: Eukaryota; Fungi; Basidiomycota; Agaricomycetes; Agaricales; Mycenaceae
Source: the annotation of a GenBank genome assembly
UCGGACGUGGUGGACGGAACACAUCCAGCCCCAAUAUCUUUACUUUCACAGAAGCUUGUAGCUGGACGAUCGGGGUUCGACUCCCCGCGUCUGAA